Molecule: ribosomal RNA, 492 nt
Filed under: uncultured bacterium
Lineage: Bacteria
Description: partial 16S ribosomal RNA
Rfam family: Bacterial small subunit ribosomal RNA
Source: RNAcentral
AGUGAACGCUGGCGGUAGGCCUAACACAUGCAAGUCGAACGGCAGCACAGUAAGAGCUUGCUCUUACGGGUGGCGAGUGGCGGACGGGUGAGGAAUACAUCGGAAUCUACUUUUUCGUGGGGGAUAACGUAGGGAAACUUACGCUAAUACCGCAUACGACCUACGGGUGAAAGAAGGGGAUCUUCGGCCCUGGCGCGAUUGAAUAAGCCGAUGUCGGAUUAGCUAGUUGGCGGGGUAAAGGCCCACCAAGGCGACGAUCCGUAGCUGGUCUGAGAGGAUGAUCAGCCACACUGGAACUGAGACACGGUCCAGACUCCUACGGGAGGCAGCAGUGGGGAAUAUUGGACAAUGGGCGCAAGCCUGAUCCAGCCAUACCGCGUGGGUGAAGAAGGCCUUCGGGUUGUAAAGCCCUUUUGUUGGGAAAGAAAAGCAGCAGGUUAAUACCCCGCUGUUCUGACGGUACCCAAAGAAUAAGCACCGGCUAACUUCGUG